This is a non-coding RNA of Ceratotherium simum simum (southern white rhinoceros), 101 nucleotides long. The record is from RefSeq and is a predicted model, not a curated record. Lineage: Eukaryota; Metazoa; Chordata; Mammalia; Perissodactyla; Rhinocerotidae.
UUAGGAUGGGCUAGUCUGAAUCAUUUCAGCGGGCUCUGGGGCAUAGAGCUGUCUCUAGCUGUCUGGUACCCGGCCCCAGGAUGACAAGGGAAGGGAAACAA